CAGCAGUCGCCGCGGUAAUACGAAGGGUGCAAGCGUUACUCGGAAUUACUGGGCGUAAAGCGUGCGUAGGUGGUGGUUUAAGUCCGUUGUGAAAGCCCUGGGCUCAACCUGGGAAUUGCAGUGGAUACUGGGUCACUAGAGUGUGGUAGAGGAUAGUGGAAUUUCCGGUGUAGCAGUGAAAUGCGUAGAGAUCGGAAGGAACAUCUGUGGCGAAGGCGACUAUCUGGGCCAACACUGACACUGAGGCACUAAAGCGUGGGGAGCAAACAGGAUUAGAUACCCCAGUAGUCCCUGUCUCUUAUAC
Molecule: ribosomal RNA, 304 nt
Filed under: uncultured bacterium
Lineage: Bacteria
Description: partial 16S ribosomal RNA
Rfam family: Bacterial small subunit ribosomal RNA
Source: RNAcentral